RNAcentral lists this ribosomal RNA (253 nucleotides) under uncultured bacterium. RNAcentral describes it as "partial 16S ribosomal RNA". It matches the Rfam family "Bacterial small subunit ribosomal RNA", at positions 524 to 776 of the family's 1533-position model. The record is from RNAcentral.
UACGUAGGGUGCAAGCGUUAAUCGGAACUACUGGGCGUAAAGCGUGCGCAGGCGGUUUUGUAAGUCAGAUGUGAAAUCCCCGGGCUUAACCUGGGAACUGCGUUUGAAACUACAAGGCUAGAGUGUGGCAGAGGGGGGUGGAAUUCCACGUGUAGCAGUGAAAUGCGUAGAGAUGUGGAGGAACACCGAUGGCGAAGGCAGCCCCCUGGGUUAACACUGACGCUCAGGCACGAAAGCGUGGGGAGCAAACAGG